GAUGAACGCUGGCGGCGUGCCUAAUACAUGCAAGUCGAGCGAACAGACGAGGAGCUUGCUCCUCUGACGUUAGCGGCGGACGGGUGAGUAACACGUGGAUAACCUACCUAUAAGACUGGGAUAACUUCGGGAAACCGGAGCUAAUACCGGAGAAUAUAUUGAACCGCAUGGUUCAAUAGUGAAAGACGGUUUUGCGGUCACUUAUAGAUGGAUCCGCGCCGUAUUAGCUAGUUGGUAAGGUAACGGCUUACCAAGGCAACGAUGCGUAGCCGACCUGAGAGGGUGAUCGGCCACACUGGAACUGAGCCACGGACAAGACGCCUAAGGGAGGCAGCAGUAGGGAAUCUUACGCAAUGGGCGAAAGCAUGACGGAGCAACGCCGCGUGAGUGAUGAAGGCCUUCGGAUCGUAAAGCUCUGUUAUGAGGGAAGAACAAAUGUGUAAGUAAAUAUGCACGUAUUGACGGUACCUAGUCAGAAAGCAACGGCUAACUACGUG
This 497-nucleotide ribosomal RNA is filed under the name uncultured bacterium. Its description in RNAcentral is "partial 16S ribosomal RNA". It matches the Rfam family "Bacterial small subunit ribosomal RNA", at positions 28 to 507 of the family's 1533-position model. The record is from RNAcentral.